RNAcentral lists this ribosomal RNA (497 nucleotides) under uncultured bacterium. RNAcentral's name for it is "partial 16S ribosomal RNA". It matches the Rfam family "Bacterial small subunit ribosomal RNA", at positions 28 to 507 of the family's 1533-position model. The record is from RNAcentral.
GAUGAACGCUGGCGGCGUGCCUAAUACAUGCAAGUCGAGCGAACAGACGAGGAGCUUGCUCCUCUGACGUUAGCGGCGGACGGGUGAGUAACACGUGGAUAACCUACCUAUAAGACUGGGAUAACUUCGGGAAACCGGAGCUAAUACCGGAUAACAUGUUGAACCGCAUGGUUCAACAGUGAAAGACGGUCUUUCCGUCACUUAUAGAUGGAUCCGCGCCGCAUUAGCUAGUUGGUAAGGUAACGGCUUACCAAGGCAACGAUGCGUAGCCGACCUGAGAGGGUGAUCGGCCACACUGGAACUGAGACACGGUCCAGACUCCUACGGGAGGCAGCAGUAGGGAAUCUUCCGCAAUGGGCGAAAGCCUGACGGAGCAACGCCGCGUGAGUGAAGAAGGUCUUCGGAUCGUAAAACUCUGUUAUUAGGGAAGAACAAAUGUGUAAGUAACUAUGCACGUCUUGACGGUACCUAAUCAGAAAGCCACGGCUAACUACGUG